Molecule: ribosomal RNA, 407 nt
Filed under: uncultured prokaryote
Also listed under: 1 other name
Description: bacterial SSU rRNA
Rfam family: Bacterial small subunit ribosomal RNA
Source: RNAcentral
UGGGGAAUAUUGGGCAAUGGGCGAAAGCCUGACCCAGCAACGCCGCGUGAGGGAAGAAGGUUUUCGGAUUGUAAACCUCUGUCCUCAGGGAAGAAGGAAGUGACGGUACCUGAGGAGGAAGCCCCGGCUAACUACGUGCCAGCAGCCGCGGUAAUACGUAGGGGGCAAGCGUUGUCCGGAAUGACUGGGCGUAAAGGGCGUGUAGGCGGCUUUUUAAGUCUGGAGUGAAAGUCCUGCUUUUAAGGUGGGAAUUGCUUUGGAAACUGGAGAGCUUGAGUGCGGAAGAGGUAAGUGGAAUUCCCAGUGUAGCGGUGAAAUGCGUAGAGAUUGGGAGGAACACCAGUGGCGAAGGCGACUUACUGGGCCGUAACUGACGCUGAGGCGCGAAAGCGUGGGGAGCGAACAGG